This 253-nucleotide ribosomal RNA is filed under the name uncultured bacterium. Its description in RNAcentral is "partial 16S ribosomal RNA". It matches the Rfam family "Bacterial small subunit ribosomal RNA", at positions 524 to 776 of the family's 1533-position model. The record is from RNAcentral.
UACGAAGGGGGCAAGCGUUACUCGGAAUUACUGGGCGUAAAGCGUGCGUAGGCGGUUUGUUAAGUCUGUCGUGAAAGCCCCGGGCUCAACCUGGGAAUGGCGAUGGAAACUGGCGAGCUAGAGUACGGUAGAGGAGAGUGGAAUUCCCGGUGUAGCAGUGAAAUGCGUAGAGAUCGGGAGGAACACCUGUGGUGUAGACAGCUUACUGGACGGUGACUGACGCUGAGGCACGAAAGCGUGGGUAGCAAACAGG